RNAcentral lists this ribosomal RNA (466 nucleotides) under uncultured bacterium. Its description in RNAcentral is "partial 16S ribosomal RNA". It matches the Rfam family "Bacterial small subunit ribosomal RNA", at positions 28 to 507 of the family's 1533-position model. The record is from RNAcentral.
GAUGAACGCUGGCGGCGUGCUUAACACAUGCAAGUCUAACGAUGAAGCCCAGCUUGCUGGGUGGUUUAGUGGCGAACGGGUGAGUAACACGUGAGUAACCUGCCCUUAACUCUGGGAUAAGCCUGGGAAACUGGGUCUAAUACCGGAUAGGAGCGCCUACCGCAUGGUGGGUGUUGGAAAGAUUUAUCGGUUUUGGAUGGACUCGCGGCCUAUCAGCUUGUUGGUGGGGUAAUGGCUCACCAAGGCGACGACGGGUAGCCGGCCUGAGAGGGUGACCGGCCACACUGGGACUGAGACACGGCCCAGACUCCUACGGGAGGCAGCAGUGGGGAAUAUUGCACAAUGGGCGAAAGCCUGAUGCAGCGACGCCGCGUGAGGGAUGACGGCCUUCGGGUUGUAAACCUCUUUCAGUAGGGAAGAAGCGAAAGUGACGGUACCUGCAGAAGAAGCACCGGCUAACUACGUG